GCGAGUGAAGAGGGACGAGCUCAAAUUCUAAAUCUGUUAGGUUUACCUAACCGAGUUGUAAUUUGAAGAGGCGUUUUCUGUGUUUCUGAUCAGCCCAAGUCCUUUGGGAUAGGGCAUCAUGGAGGGUGAGAAUCCCGUUCGGUUGGUCAGAUUCGCUUUACGAUACGUCAUCUAAGAGUCAAGUUGUUUGGGAUUGCAGCUUAAAAUGGGAGGUAAAUUUCUCCUAAGGCUAAAUAACGGCGAGAGACCGAUAGCGAACAAGUACCGUGAGGGAAAGAUGAAAAGAACUUUGAAAAGAGAGUUAAACAGUACGUGAAAUUGUUGAAAGGGAAACGAUUGAAGCCAGUCGUACCUUCGGGUAAUCAGCCUUUCGGGUGCGAUUCUGUGGAGCGUGAGGAGUUAAACGCCUUCAUGCCUGCAUAUUCGUGCACUUUGGGUGUACUUGCCCGUGUGGUAGGUUAACAUCAAUUUCGGAUAUCAUAAAAUGGCUGGAGGAAUGUAGCUUCGGUCUCGUACUGAAGUGUUAUAGCCUCUGGUAGAUGUGAUGACCGGGAUUGAGGAUUGCAACGAAUACCUUUUGGGCUACCCGCCUGAUCUCUGAAAGUUGCUCUGGUGCCGAAAGCUUGCUUACGGUUAUCAAAGUUGACGUUCAAAAGGUUAGAACGGGUUAAAUUCGUUAAGGAUGU
RNAcentral lists this ribosomal RNA (686 nucleotides) under Rhizophagus intraradices. RNAcentral's name for it is "partial large subunit ribosomal RNA". It matches the Rfam family "Eukaryotic large subunit ribosomal RNA", at positions 89 to 626 of the family's 3401-position model. The record is from RNAcentral. Lineage: Eukaryota; Fungi; Glomeromycota; Glomeromycetes; Glomerales; Glomeraceae.